CAAUUCCCGUCGUUCGCCCAU
Molecule: transfer RNA, 21 nt
Filed under: Ranunculus repens
Lineage: Eukaryota; Viridiplantae; Streptophyta; Magnoliopsida; Ranunculales; Ranunculaceae
Description: partial tRNA-His
Source: RNAcentral